Molecule: ribosomal RNA, 484 nt
Filed under: uncultured bacterium
Lineage: Bacteria
Description: partial 16S ribosomal RNA
Rfam family: Bacterial small subunit ribosomal RNA
Source: RNAcentral
AUUGAACGCUGGCGGCAGGCCUAACACAUGCAAGUCGAGCGGAUGAAGGGAGCUUGCUCCUGGAUUCAGCGGCGGACGGGUGAGUAAUGCCUAGGAAUCUGCCUGGUAGUGGGGGAUAACGUCCGGAAACGGGCGCUAAUACCGCAUACGUCCUGAGGGAGAAAGUGGGGGAUCUUCGGACCUCACGCUAUCAGAUGAGCCUAGGUCGGAUUAGCUAGUUGGUGGGGUAAAGGCCUACCAAGGCGACGAUCCGUAACUGGUCUGAGAGGAUGAUCAGUCACACUGGAACUGAGACACGGUCCAGACUCCUACGGGAGGCAGCAGUGGGGAAUAUUGGACAAGGGGCGAAAGCCUGAUCCAGCCAUGGCGCGUGUGUGAAGAAGGUCUUCGGAUUGUAAAGCACUUUAAGUUGGGAGGAAGGGCAGUAAGCUAAUACCUUGCUGUUUUGACGUUACCAACAGAAUAAGCACCGGCUAACUUCGUG